This 406-nucleotide ribosomal RNA is filed under the name uncultured bacterium. RNAcentral describes it as "partial 16S ribosomal RNA". It matches the Rfam family "Bacterial small subunit ribosomal RNA", at positions 30 to 526 of the family's 1533-position model. The record is from RNAcentral.
AUUGAACGCUGGCGGCAGGCUUAACACAUGCAAGUCGCGCGAGCGGCGGACGGGUGAGUAAUGUCUGGGAAACUGCCUGAUGGAGGGGGAUAACUAAUGGAAACGGUAGCUAAUACCGCAUACCAUCAGAUGUGCCCAGAUGGGCUGAGCUAGUAGGUGGGGUAAUGGUUCACCAGGGCGACGAUCCCUAGCUGGUCUGAGAGGAUGACCAGCAACACUGGAACUGAGACACGGUCCAGACUCCUACGGGAGUCAGCAGUGGGGAAUAGUGCACAAUGGGCGCAAGCCUGAUGCAGCCCUGCCGCGUGUGUGAAGAAGGCCUUCGGGUUGUAAAGCACUUUCAGCGAGGAGGCGUUACUCGCAGAAGAAGCACCGGCUAACUCCGUGCCAGCAGCCGCGGGAAUUC